RNAcentral lists this unclassified non-coding RNA (404 nucleotides) under soil metagenome. Its description in RNAcentral is "partial contains 5.8S ribosomal RNA, internal transcribed spacer 2, and large subunit ribosomal RNA". The stretch from base 1 to 121 matches the Rfam family "5.8S ribosomal RNA", at positions 35 to 154 of the family's 154-position model. The record is from RNAcentral.
GAUGAAGAACGCAGCGAAAUGCGAUAGGUAGUGUGAAUUGCAGAUGUAACGUGAAUCAUCGAAUCUUUGAACGCAAAUUGCACUCUCUGGUAUUCCGGGGAGUAUGCCUGUUUGAGGGUCGCCAAAUCAACAUCGAAAUUCAUUUGCUUUUGUAAAUGUUUAUCGGAUUUGAGCCGUCUUUUAUUUUUUUAAUUAAAGUGGCUUAAAAUGUAUUUUUUGGUAUCGAAAAACGUUAUUUUACGAUCAAAUUGAUUAAAAAAACAAACGUUUCGAAUGCCGUCUUUUAAUGUAAUACGCUUGACUGUGGUGUUAAUCAUAGUUUCAUUCGUAUACGAUUUUUUAAUUUUUGACCUCAAAUCAGGUAAGAACACUCGCUGAACUUAAGCAUAUCAAUAAGCGGAGGA